GAUGAACGCUGGCGGCGUGCCUAAUACAUGCAAGUCGAGCGAACGGACGAGAAGCUUGCUUCUCUGAUGUUAGCGGCGGACGGGUGAGUAACACGUGGAUAACCUACCUAUAAGACUGGGAUAACUUCGGGAAACCGUAGCUAAUACCGGAUAAUAUAUUGAACCGCAUGGUUCAAAAGUGAAAGACGGUCUUGCUGUCACUUAUAGAUGGAUAAGCGCUGCAUUAGCUUGUUGGUAAGGUAACUGCUUACCAAGGCAACGAUGCAUAGCCGACCUGAGAGCGUCAUUGGCCAGCCGGGAAGUGAGACUCAUCACACACUCCUACACGGAGAAGCGGUAGAGACUCUUACGCGAGGGAGCAGAGGGUGACGGAGCAACGCGGCGUGAGUCAUGAAGGUCUUCGGACCGUAGAACUAUGUUAUCAGGGAAGAUCAUAUGUGUAAGUAACUGUGCACAUCUUGACGGUACCUAAUCAGAAAGCCACGGCUAACUCCGUG
Molecule: ribosomal RNA, 497 nt
Filed under: uncultured bacterium
Lineage: Bacteria
Description: partial 16S ribosomal RNA
Rfam family: Bacterial small subunit ribosomal RNA
Source: RNAcentral